ACGUAUCUACCCAACUGGAGAAUAGACUAACCACACUUUUUCUUGGUAUAGAGCACUAUCUGAUUUUUCAGAAAGUACACAGAUCACCAUAGUUACAAAUUAUACGCCUCAGUCCCUUCUCCAUUUAUCACAUUCUCCUCCCCUCUUCGCCAAAUUCAGCCAAAUCCGUCGGCGCCACACAAUUUCUUCCUCCAAUGACUAAUCGAUUGAGCUGCCGCUUGUUACGCGGAGAUUAAUCGAUUAAUCGGCCGCUUGUUACGCUUAUUUUGGUCUGAACAUCAAUUUCACUGCCGUCAAUUGCGUUCAGUUCGGAGGAUACCAAUUGACUCUGGAUUCUCCAUGGGUAACGAAGACGAAGGUCGCAAGGUAGGUGUACCACAACGGGCCGACUUUUACAUCUUGCCAUGGUUGUCGAUUUGAAACGACUCUACUGAAUGUAAAUUGAGAUUUAUUAUACCCAGAUGGAGUGUUGAGUUUGUAAUUGGUGAGAUUUAUGUUUGCUCUUCCUGUAAUCUAUUUGUUGGUGUGUUCGUACUCUCCCCAAAACAAAGGUAUGAAUUGAAAAAUAUUAUGCAAUUAUUGAUAUAAUGAUGUUAAUAAUAGAAAAUAAUUGAAUCUUAAGAUGAUAUUGCAAUUCUAUUUUUGUGUUUAUAGAAUAAAAUUCUUCCUUCAUAUACAAUUUUUGAUGUUUGAUUUUGCCAGCUUUUUACCUUGCUCAUGUUCAAUCACACGCAUAUUCUAUUCUCCUCCAUUUAGGUUGUGCAUAGGUGUCACGAAACGACUACUGUGAUGAUUUUGAUUGAUCAAAUUAUAAGGAAUCAGCAAAUAAAUCUUUUGUUGAUAGCUUUGACGCUAAAAAUGCUUGGUCCUAGGAUCUGUAAGAGGAAACGCUCAAUUAGAGGUGACCAAUGGGAACUGCUUGAUAGAAUACCUGACCAUGUUAAGUAUUUAGAUAGGCUAGUGCGUGUCUCAGACCGGUCAUGCAUUGAUAAUUUACGGAUGGAUAGAAAUACUUUUGGGCGUUUGUGUCGUCUUCUCCGUGGCCGUGCCGGCUUAAUUGACCAGAAAUUUGUUACUGUCGAGGAACAAGUAGCCAUGUUCUUAUGUGUUCUAUCUCACCAUAAGAAACUUCGAGUAGUAUGUUAUGAUUUCAUGCGAUCUUCCCAAACUGUGUCACGCUACGUACACAUUGUGUUUCGUGGAGUGCUUACUCUUCAUAAUUUGUUUUUGGUGAAACCCACGGCUGUAGGCGAUGACUGCACGGACCGACGUUGGAAGUGGUUUAAGGGUGCCUUGGAGCUCUAGACGGGACAUAUAUCAAUGUUCGGGUGCCUAUUGCAGACACACCGUGUUACCGCAAUAGGAAAGGUCAUAUCACAACCAACACACUUGCCGUUUGUGACCCACAAUUCCGAUUCAUUUAUAUCCUACUUGGAUGAGAGGGAUCUGCUGGGAUUCACGGAUUUUAUGCGAAGCGAUUAGCCGACCACUUGGCCUUAAAUUGCCUAAAGGUAAAUAUUAUCUCUGUGAUAGUGGGUACUCAAAUAGUGAUGGAUUUAUGACCCCGUUCAAGGGAGUUCGCUAUCAUUUGAAGGAGUGGGGCCCUGGUAGCCAAGCCCCGCAGACGACGGAGGAGUUGUUUAACUUGAGGCACGCAAAGACAAGGAAUGUAAUAGAGCGCUCUUUUGCGCCGUGCUGAAGAUGCGAUGAGCCAAAUAGAGGUCGAUCCGAUUGAGACUGAGCUGAGCAGUCAAAAUGAAGAUGGCAACGAGAGUGAUAAUGAUGAGGUGCUUGGUGAACAUAUCACUUGUGUUGAGCCAACAACAGCGUGGAAUAAGAAAAGAUAUGAUCUAGCUAGAGAAAUAUGGGCUGAGCGACAGAAUAUAUAAUUUAGAAUGUUGUGAUCUCUUUGAUGUAACCUUAGCACUUCAUUUCAUUUUCUUGGUAUUUCCAACUAAGCUACUCUUUUGUGAACAUUUGGUGACCGAGACUUGAAUUUUUUUUAAGUUGUUGACAUUUUCAGCUCUUGAUUGUAACCUGUAGGGCUGUUUUAAGAUGCCAUUUUCAUAUGUUAUUUUAAUCUAUUACUGAAAUUUGUGAA
Molecule: non-coding RNA, 2101 nt
Organism: Salvia hispanica
Lineage: Eukaryota; Viridiplantae; Streptophyta; Magnoliopsida; Lamiales; Lamiaceae
Source: RefSeq, a predicted model, not a curated record